RNAcentral lists this ribosomal RNA (497 nucleotides) under uncultured bacterium. Its description in RNAcentral is "partial 16S ribosomal RNA". It matches the Rfam family "Bacterial small subunit ribosomal RNA", at positions 28 to 507 of the family's 1533-position model. The record is from RNAcentral.
GACGAACGCUGGCGGCGUGCCUAAUACAUGCAAGUUGAGCGCUGAAGGUUGGUACUUGUACCAACUGGAUGAGCAGCGAACGGGUGAGUAACGCGUGGGGAAUCUGCCUUUGAGCGGGGGACAACAUUUGGAAACGAAUGCUAAUACCGCAUAAAAACUUUAAACACAAGUUUUAAGUUUGAAAGAUGCAAUUGCAUCACUCAAAGAUGAUCCCGCGUUGUAUUAGCUAGUUGGUGAGGUAAAGGCUCACCAAGGCGAUGUUACAUAGCCGACCUGAGAGGGUGAGCGGCCACAUUGGGACUGAGACACGGCCCAAACUCCUACGGGAGGCAGCAGUAGGGAAUCUUCGGCAAUGGACGAAAGUCUGACCGAGCAACGCCGCGUGAGUGAAGAAGGUUUUCGGAUCGUAAAACUCUGUUGGCAGAGAAGAACGUUGGUGAGAGUGGAAAGCUCAUCAAGUGACGGUAACUACCCAGAAAGGGACGGCUAACUACGUG